This 763-nucleotide ribosomal RNA is filed under the name uncultured bacterium. Its description in RNAcentral is "bacterial SSU rRNA". It matches the Rfam family "Bacterial small subunit ribosomal RNA", at positions 8 to 776 of the family's 1533-position model. The record is from RNAcentral.
AGAGUUUGAUUCUGGCUCAGGANNAACGCUGGCGGCGUGCCUAACACAUGCAAGUCGAACGGGACCAGGGGCAACUCUGGUUCAGUGGCGGACGGGUGCGUAACACGUGAGGAACAUGACUUUCGGCGGGGGAUAGCCGGCCCAACGGCCGGGUAAUACCGCGUACGACCUUUCGGGGACAUCCCCGGUUGGUGAAAGCAGCAAUGCGCCGAAAGAGUGCCUCGCGGCCUAUCAGCUAGUUGGUGAGGUAAUGGCUCACCAAGGCAACGACGGGUAGCUGGUCUGAGAGGAUGGCCAGCCACAUUGGGACUGAGACACGGCCCAGACUCCUACGGGAGGCAGCAGUGGGGAAUAUUGCGCAAUGGGCGAAAGCCUGACGCAGCGACGCCGCGUGUGGGAUGACGGCCUUCGGGUUGUAAACCACUGUCGGGAGGGACGAAUGCGCCGCAAGGCGAGUGACGGUACCUCCAAAGGAAGCACCGGCUAACUCCGUGCCAGCAGCCGCGGUAAUACGGAGGGUGCAAGCGUUGUCCGGAAUCACUGGGCGUAAAGGGCGCGUAGGCGGCCUGAUAAGUAGGGGGUGAAAUCCUGCGGCUUAACCGCAGGGCUGCCUUCCAAACUGUCAGGCUAGAGCACGGUAGAGGCAGAUGGAAUUCCCGGUGUAGCGGUGGAAUGCGUAGAGAUCGGGAAGAACAUCAGUGGCGAAGGCGGUCUGCUGGGCCGUUGCUGACGCUGAGGCGCGACAGCGUGGGGAGCAAACAGG